RNAcentral lists this ribosomal RNA (253 nucleotides) under uncultured bacterium. RNAcentral describes it as "partial 16S ribosomal RNA". It matches the Rfam family "Bacterial small subunit ribosomal RNA", at positions 524 to 776 of the family's 1533-position model. The record is from RNAcentral.
GACGUAGGGGGCCAGCGUUGUUCGGAAUUACUGGGGGUAAAGGGUUCGUAGGCGGUGUGGCAAGUCGGGUGUGAAAUCUCUGGGCUCAACCCAGAGUCUGCUUCCGAAACUGCUGUGCUUGAGUGUGGGAGAGGCGCGUGGAAUUGCAGGUGUAGCGGUGAAAUGCGUAGAUAUCUGCAGGAACACCCGUGGCGAAAGCGGCGCGCUGGACCACUACUGACGCUGAGGAACGAAAGCUAGGGGAGCAAACAGG